Molecule: ribosomal RNA, 439 nt
Filed under: uncultured bacterium
Lineage: Bacteria
Description: partial 16S ribosomal RNA
Rfam family: Bacterial small subunit ribosomal RNA
Source: RNAcentral
CUACGGGCGGCAGCAGUGAGGAAUAUUGCACAAUGGGGGGAACCCUGAUACAGCAACGCCGCGUGGAGGAUGACGCAUUUCGGUGUGUAAACUCCUUUUAUAUGUCAAGAAAAUGACGGUAGCAUAUGAAUAAGCACCGGCUAACUCCGUGCCAGCAGCCGCGGUAAUACGGAGGGUGCAAGCGUUACUCGGAAUCACUGGGCGUAAAGGACGCGUAGGCGGGUUGGAAAGUCAGGUGCGAAAUCCUACAGCUUAACUGUAGAACUGCACUUGAAACUUCUAAUCUAGAGUAUGGGAGGGGGAGAUGGAAUUAGUGGUGUAGGGGUAAAAUCCGUAGAUAUCACUAGGAAUACCUAAAGCGAAGGCGAUCUCCUGGAACAUUACUGACGCUAAGGCGUGAAAGCGUGGGGAGCAAACAGGAUUAGAUACCCGAGUAGUC